RNAcentral lists this unclassified non-coding RNA (354 nucleotides) under soil metagenome. RNAcentral describes it as "partial contains 5.8S ribosomal RNA, internal transcribed spacer 2, and large subunit ribosomal RNA". The stretch from base 1 to 120 matches the Rfam family "5.8S ribosomal RNA", at positions 35 to 154 of the family's 154-position model. The record is from RNAcentral.
GAUGAAGAACGCAGCGAAACGCGAUAUGUAAUGUGAAUUGCAGAAUUCAGAGAAUCAUCGAAUCUUUGAACGCACAUGGCGCCUUCCAGUAUCCUGGGAGGCAUGCCUGUCCGAGCGUCGUUUCAACCCUCGAGCCCCCGUGGCCCGGCGUUGGGGAUCUGCCCAGGCAGUCCCCGAAAACCAGUGGCGGACCCGUUACAGGCCCUUCCCUUGCGUAGUAGCAUUCGCCUCGCAUCGGGAGCCGGCGGGCUUCCAGCCUCUAAACCCCCAUCAAGUCCGCCCCGGCGGCACCAAGGUUGACCUCGGAUCAGGUAGGAAUACCCGCUGAACUUAAGCAUAUCAAUAAGCGGAGGA